AUGAGCGCCCGGGCGGUGACCAAGUCGGCGCCGGUGCUCGUCGCCGGCCCGCCUGGCGGCGACGACGCCGUGGUCCACCUCACCUCCUCCUUCGACCGGAUCGUCCCUCCUAUUGGGGUCACCGCGCUGCUCCUCUUCGACCGGCCGAUCCCCGAGCCGGCGGACACCAUCAGGACGGCGCUCUCGAGGGCGCUUGCCCACUACCGCCCCGUCGCCGGCCGCCUCGCCGCCGACGCCGACGCCGAUGGCAAGCUCCUGCGCAUCGAGGGCGCGGCCGGCGUGCCGUUCGUCGCCGCGUCGGCGUCCUACGCGCUGGCGGACGUCACGGUGCCGCUGCUCGGCGGCCUCGCGGCGCGGUACCCCGGAAGGCUCUGCCGCCACGCCGACCCCCUGCUCCUGGUGCAGGUCACCGUGUUCGCCUGCGGCGGGUUCGCCGUCGCCGCGACGUGGAACCACGUGCUGACGGACGGCGAGGGCAUGGCGCAGUUCCUGGGCGCCGUCGGGGAGCUCGCGCGCGGGGCGUCCCCGGCGCCGUCCGUCACGCCGCUCCGCGCCGACGACGGCUCGCUCCUGGGCCUCCCGCCGACGAUAGUCGCCGCGCAGAAGCAGGGGGGCAGCUCCAUGCUCAGAAUGAACCUCGCGCUCCUGGACGUCACCGUCCCCGCCGGCCUGAUCGGCCGCGUCAGGGCCGAGUUCGACGCCGCCGGCCUCGGCGGCCCGUGCACGGCGUUCGAGGCCGUCGCGGCGGUGCUGUGGCGGUGCCGGACCCGCGCGGCCGUCGUCUCAGUCUCCGACGAGGCCCCCGUGACCCUCUUGUUCGCGGCCAACAUGCGCCGGCUCGCCGGCGCCAGGCCCGGGUACUACGGCAACUGCGCGGUGCUGCAGCCGCUGACCUCGACGCGCGGCGCGGUGGCGAACGGCGCGGCCGCGGACGUGCUGAGGAUGAUCCGGCGCGCGAAGGAGAGGAUCCCCGACCUGCUCGCCCCCGGCGGCACGACGACGGAGCAGGGGGCGGUGGCGCUGACGUACAGCACGCUGGUGGUGUCGAGCUGGAGGAACCUGGGGUUCGAGGCGGCGGACUUCGGCGGCGGGAGGCCGGCGCGGGUGACAUGGCACUGGCACGGGGAGGGGACGACGGUGCCGAGCUGCGUCGUGUGCCCGCCGGGCACGGACGGCGACAACGGCGGGGUCAGCGUGACAUCGCUCUUCGUCAGGCCGGAGCACGCCAAGGCAUUCCUAGCUGAGCUCGCCGCCAUGUCGCCGUGGAAGUUGUAA
This 1275-nucleotide ribosomal RNA is filed under the name Triticum aestivum (bread wheat). RNAcentral's name for it is "partial small subunit ribosomal RNA". Lineage: Eukaryota; Viridiplantae; Streptophyta; Magnoliopsida; Poales; Poaceae. The record is from RNAcentral.